UUUCCGUAGGUGAACCUGCGGAAGGAUCAUUAUUGUAUAACCGAGGUGCAAGGGCUGUCGCUGACCCGAAAGGUCGUGCACGCCCGAGUGCCCUCACACACAUCCAUCUCACCCCUAUGUGCACCACCGCGUGGGUCCCCCUUUGGCUUGUUCGGAGGGGGGCUUACGUUUUCACACAAACUUUGUAUGCAGUGUAGAAUGUAUUUUUUGUUUUUGCGAUCACGCAAUCAAUACAACUUUCAACAACGGAUCUCUUGGCUCUCGCAUCGAUGAAGAACGCGGC
Molecule: unclassified non-coding RNA, 283 nt
Filed under: plant metagenome
Description: partial contains small subunit ribosomal RNA, internal transcribed spacer 1, and 5.8S ribosomal RNA
Rfam family: 5.8S ribosomal RNA (bases 235-283)
Source: RNAcentral